UGAAGUUAGGCUAGCAAACCUGCUGAAUUUAAGCAUAUAAGUAAGCGGAGGACAAGAAACUAAACAGGAUCCCCAUAGUAAUGGCGAAUGAACAGGGAUGAGCUCAGCAUGGAAAUUGGGGCCUGUGGCUUUGACUUGUAAUCUUGUGAGGCAUUGCCAACAGAGGCGCAGAUGUAAGUCUCUUGGAAAAGAGCAUCAAUGAGGGUGAGAGUCCUGCUUGUCAUUUGCAGCCCCCCUGUGCACGGUGUGCCUUCUAAGAGUCACGUUCCUCGGGAUUGGAGCGCAAAGUGGGUGGUAACUUUCAUCUGAAGCUAAACAAUGGUUUGGGACCGAUAGGAAACAAGUACCAUGAGGGAAAGGUGAAAAGGACUUUGGAAAGAGAGUUAAAAGUGCCUGAAAUUGCUGAAGGGGAAGCGAAUGGAACCAGUGGCGCUGGGUGAGAUUGUCACACGCUGCAGGGAUUGGUUGCUGCAUCAGCGCAAGCGAUCUAGCGACUGCUGAAUUGUAAGUGUGUGGUGUGUCUUGCCUUGUGUGUCAUUGUGGGUUUAUGCAUUAAGACAAUUCAAAGUGCAUGGCAAUAUGUUUCUGAAUCUAUGAAUGUGUUUUGUUAUGUUUAUGCAUAAGCUUCCUAUUCUAUGUCUGGCUGCAGUGCUUGCCGUCCCCAUUUUUUUGGAUAGAUGAGCUGAGCAUGUCCUUCUGCACAGAUCUUGGCUAAAUGGUUCUAUUCGACCCGUCUUGAAACACGGAACAAAGA
RNAcentral lists this ribosomal RNA (754 nucleotides) under Ornithocercus magnificus. RNAcentral describes it as "LSU rRNA". It matches the Rfam family "Eukaryotic large subunit ribosomal RNA", at positions 1 to 672 of the family's 3401-position model. Lineage: Eukaryota; Dinophyceae; Dinophysales; Dinophysaceae. The record is from RNAcentral.